CAUGUAGGAAUUUAAAAGUUGAACAAACUCCUUAAUUUAACUUCUUCAUUAAAUAAGUAUCCUAAUCCAACAUCGAGGUCGCAAUCAAUUUUAUCAAUAUGAGCUAUCCAAAAUUAUUACGCUGUUAUCCCUAGAGUAUUUUAUUCAUUUAAUCAAUAUUAUUGGAUCAAAUUUUUAAAUAAUUAACAAAAAGAUUCUUUAUCUUUUUAAGUCGCCCCAACUAAUUAUUUUUUUCAAAAAAAUUUUUUUGAAAAAAAUAAUAAAAUUCAUAGGGUCUUCUUGUCCCUUAAUUUUAUUUUUGCCUCUGCACAUAAAAAGUUAACUUCUAUAUUUAUUAAAAAGACAGAUUUAAAUUGUUCUAUCAUUCUUUUAGCACUCAUUUAAAGCCUUAUUUCAAUACCUUCGUAUAGUCAAAAUACCACAGCAAUUUAAUAAUCUCAUUGAGCAGAUAAUACAUUUUAUUAUUUCAAAAUGAAAUGUUUUUGA
Molecule: ribosomal RNA, 486 nt
Filed under: Ixodes holocyclus (paralysis tick)
Lineage: Eukaryota; Metazoa; Arthropoda; Arachnida; Ixodida; Ixodidae
Description: partial 16S ribosomal RNA
Source: RNAcentral